CCGAAAAGAGAUGAGAUGAUUGAGUAUGGAAAGUAAUAACUCAUUUUCUAUUAAAUUAAUAUUCAGAUAUUAUUAGUAUAUGAUUAUAUAAUAACUUUUUUAAAUUUAAUUUCUAAUGCUAGCUGUCAUAUAGUGCGCAUCGUACACAGCUUAUUCGGCGGAGCGUGAGGGAAGCUGAAUUGCAUGCCGUAGUUGUCCAAAUCCAAAACGAUUACUAGUAUAUAGGGAUAGGGCCAUCUUACAGAAGUUUAAAUAU
Molecule: long non-coding RNA, 256 nt
Filed under: Salvia miltiorrhiza (redroot sage)
Lineage: Eukaryota; Viridiplantae; Streptophyta; Magnoliopsida; Lamiales; Lamiaceae
Description: long non-coding RNA (SMIL_LNC013896)
Source: RNAcentral